UUGGUGUGUGUAUGUGUUGGAAAAUGAAUGAGUUCAGUUUGGGACAACCAUGAAGACCCCGCAGACAGUUAAGAUACUGUUAUGAGGUUCCCUUACAUUCUAAAAUGUUACCUUUAGUUCUUUGAAGUCAAUUCUGCACCCCACUCUUUGCUCUAUACCCAGACAGUAGCACAGACCGGUGUUCAGUAAUGACGGAUGGACAAGGGGUGGGAGAACCGUGGCGAGUGGCCAGUGCCUGCUGCGAUGCUUGUGCAUGAAGACUCAUCCUAAGUGAAGAACCACACAGUUCCACUAGGGGGAACUGAUUUUUUUCAUACCCUGCAGAAACUCAACCACCUGUUAGAGGAGGAGAACAGAGCAGGAAGGAGAUAUGUUGUGGGAAGGAAAGAUCAACUUGAGUUUGUCUUCUUAGUGCCUUUUCUCAGGGAAGAGGCCAUCACUUUAAGAUGCUGACUCUCCUACUCCUUCUCCUGGGACAAGGUUCUGUGUUUGGUGCUGUCGUCUCUCAAAAGCCAAGCAGGGGCAUCUGUCAACGUGGAACCUCCAUGACAAUCCAGUGUCAUGUUGAUAGCCAAGUCAACUUGAUGUUCUGGUACCGUCAGCUCCCCAGACAGAGCAUGACACUGAUUGCAACUGCAAAUCAGGGCUCUGGGGCCACAUAUGAGAAAGGAUUUGCUGGAGACAAGUUUCCCAUUAGCCGCCCAAGUCUAACAUUCUCAACUCUGAAUGUGAGCAACAUGAGUCCCGAAGACAGCGGCAUAUACUUCUGCAGUGCUGGAGACACAGUGCUGGGCACAGAUCAAAGAUCUGAGCAAGAACCUUAGCUCCCUCCUACCCAGCUCCCCUCACAUGAGCCUGAGGGCCCUGCCAAGGUGAAACGGAGGGAGGAAACCACAGCUCUUGGGCAGACACAGCUGUUUCUGUGCUUGCGGGUGAGCAUGGGUAUGAAUGGGUAGACUGGGGAUAAGAAGAGCAUCUCUAGGACUAGCUGGAGAGUUCUGUCCACAGCAGGAAGAGUGGCUCCUGGAAAGUUGAGGGUAAAAUUUCUUCGAGAUGAAUGCUCAGAAAUACCCAACAAAAACAAUCAGAUACAGUUUUCUUCAAAUGGCAGGGUCAGUCAUAGCUUUUAACUGUUUUAUCUCCACGCUCUGUUUAGCUGGUGUUUGAUCACAAUAUAUUUUGGAAGAACUUUAGUCAUCUUGAAACAAAGCUGGUACAUUACAUUGAUGACAUCUGGUUGUUCUCAGUGAAUAGGAAUUAUAAAGUCCUCUAGAUGCCUUGAUAUGACACAUGCAUCCCAAGUCAAUAUAAAAUCUUCAAAGUUCAGGAACCUUCUAUAAUGGUGAGUUUGGGAGUGGUCCG
This is a non-coding RNA of Sapajus apella (tufted capuchin), 1362 nucleotides long. The record is from the annotation of a RefSeq genome assembly. Lineage: Eukaryota; Metazoa; Chordata; Mammalia; Primates; Cebidae.